This 406-nucleotide ribosomal RNA is filed under the name uncultured bacterium. Its description in RNAcentral is "partial 16S ribosomal RNA". It matches the Rfam family "Bacterial small subunit ribosomal RNA", at positions 30 to 527 of the family's 1533-position model. The record is from RNAcentral.
AUUGAACGCUGGCGGCAGGCCUAACACAUGCAAGUCGAACGAGUGGCGGACGGGUGAGUAAUGUCUGGGAAACUGCCUGAUGGAGGGGGAUAACUACUGGAAACGUUAGCUAAUACCGCAUACCAUCAGAUGUGCCCAGAUGGGAUUAGCUUGGUGGUGGGGUAACGGCUCACCAAGGCGACGAUCCCUAGCUGGUCUGAGAGGAUGACCAGCCAAAAUGGAACUGAGACAGGGUCCAGACUCCUACGGGAGGCAGCAGUGGGGAAUAUUGAACAAUGGGCGCAAGCCUGAUUGAGCCAUGCCGCGUGUAUGAAGAAGGCCUUCGGGUUGUAAAGUACUUUCAGCGGGGAGGAGUUACCCGCAGAAGAAGCAACGGCUAACUCCGUGCCAGCAGCCGCGGUAAUUG